RNAcentral lists this long non-coding RNA (4710 nucleotides) under Canis lupus familiaris (dog). RNAcentral's name for it is "lncRNA (ENSCAFG00040001752.1)". Lineage: Eukaryota; Metazoa; Chordata; Mammalia; Carnivora; Canidae. The record is from RNAcentral.
AUGGGAACGCAAGCAUGCCUCCAUCACCACCACCAUCAUCAAUCAAGAAACACUUGCCUCACACCUCCUCUGGAGCACACUGGGAGAUUCAGAUAUGUCCCUACGUAUCUUCCCCAAUCCACUUUGGAAUACACACAAAAUCAUGAGAUUAACUGCAUUUGCUGCUGAUACUAAUGGAAGUGCACUGUAUUUGUGGGUAUGUUUUUUUUUUUUUUUUUUUGUGGGGAAAAACAUUUGAAGAACACCUCAAGGGCAAUGGGUAACAUUGAACACUCUCAGUAAUGUAUUAACAUGGUUAAAACAUUAGAGGAAAACAAGAUUGAAAAUAUGGAAAUAUGGAGACUAGUCAGAAAGCAGUGGGAGAUAACUAGAGGGAAAGAUGCCUAAGAUGCUGGCCACAGGAAUGAAGAGAAGUGUUUGGAUUCUAGAAAAACUUAGAAGUUAAAACUAACGGGAUUAAGUUGUGGAUUGGUGAGAGCAAGGAAAGACCUGAGGAUCACAGUGAGCAACUGUGUAGAAGGUAGUAACAGAUAUAGAUGGGAGGGGAAAAUAUAUUUGUGGAAAAAGUCAGAUGUAGAAGAGUUUACCUGCUAAAUUGGAAUGGAGGGGUGAUAUUAUCAUGGGUGCUAAUAUCCAAAAUAACCUUUAUAGGUGGGGAUAAGAAACAAUUCUCUGGUUUUAGUUUUCUAGCUCAAAGAAACUAGAAAUAACAAAUUUCAAAGCAAGAUGGAGAACUUAAAACUAACUAAAGAAAAGGUCAGAGCAGGUAUUGAGGUGCUCUUGGAGGGAGAGGUGAUUUUUGUAGCUCUUCAUAUCAUACUCUAGAGUUAGAGACCCAUCUCAUCUCCUUGUUGGAUAACCCUAGUGUUACUUAUCCUCACAUAUGGGCUAUAAUGCAUCCCUGGAAAAAAACAGUGACCUGAAUUAUCUUAAUGAGCCACGUGACCCAGGAAAGUGGGGACUGUUUUCCCAGAGCUAUUCUGAUUGAUUGCAUUCCCCGUGCAUUAGUGACUAAAGUCCCCUAUUUGGCUUUGGUUGUACAGAUACUGCUGAAAUGCAUCACUGAAGCCUAACCAAGAACUUGUAAGAAUAAGUGCUACCCAAGCAACGCAGAAGAAAAUAAAUGCAAAGACAGUCAUAAAAAAGUGAAAUGAUAUAUCCUCACUUCAGUCACUUGAUUCCUAACCUGAGGUAGACACUUCUCAGAUUGAUCACUGAGGCCUUUGGCAUGAAAAAGUAUGAUUUUUGAGCCUGUAUAUUUUGAAGAUUCCUGAAGAAAAACCUAACACAGGGCUGCUGAGUUUCCCCCAACAUAAUCUGCUCUGGAGACACUGUGGAAGCAAAAAAAAUUAUUGAUCUGGAGAAAUAACAUAAAGACAGUGAGAAAUCCCAGGGAGACUACAAGCUGUUGUGAAUUGGUCUGGGAGGAAUCAGGAAUCCCUUUAGGACCAAUGCAGCUUGACAGCAGCAAUGAAAUAUAGAUUGGGGCAGAUUUUUUAAGCUCUGCUCUUGUCUUACCCUUUGUUGUGUUGGGAUAAUCAUUGCUUGCUCCUUUACAUCAAAAAUCACACAUAACACAAAGGUCUAUGGUGUGGAUGUUCUUAGAGCAGCCUUUUGAGGGGGAGGGGCUGGUGUAGGAAUAACUGUCUAGUAACCCUUGCCUAGUCAUUAAUCCAAUCUCCUCUCCACCAAACCCCCAGGGCUGGAAAUUUAUAACCUGAAAGGAUUGUCACCUCCUAGUGUUGCUUCUAAGAGUUUAGAAGUGAAUGCCAAAACAGAGCUAUUGCCUAAUGGAAUGGAGCAAACUAGAUUAGUCUGAGGGAUUCUGUGGUGCCUAGGGCUCUAUAGCUUAUUCCUCUAAUCCCUCCUUCUUAAUCAUUCAGUCCUUCAGUCCUUCAGUCCUUCCCUUGUAUAGCAUAGAAUUUUCAGUCUGUGGGUGUGGACUCAAUAUGGUGACUAGUUACUAGUAUUUUUCAAUUAAAUCAAAUAGACCACGAAAUACCACAGUGCAUUGCUCACCAUAAAAUAAAUAUUAUUUUGUAAUAUAUGUCCAAAAUAGAUUUACAAAUAUCAUUUUGUAAUCUAUAUCAAAUGGGUCAUGAGAGGUAAAAUGUAUUUCUUAUUGCAGAAUAAGAUCAAAAAAGUUUAAGAGCCUCAUAUGGCUGUUAUCCCCAGGCAAACAUAACUUCAAACACAGCUGAGAUGCAAACUAUAACAUAAAGGUAAUACACUGAGCAAAAAUAACUGCAUGAUGAAGAACUUUUGGAAUAGAUAAUCCAAAUAAGCAUAAAGAAUGUACUUAAAUGGAAAAUGAGGAUAUUAAGAGUGUUACAAAGUUCUAAGAAGAAAGAAAAAAAGAACAAGGUGAAAUAUGAGGUGUGAAAGUGUGAUGGGUGAAUAAAGAGCACUAGUUUGUAAUUUGUAAAACAAAUUAGUGUGCUGAAAUAGCAGAUUGAAGACCUUUCCCAAAAGACAGCAAAAGAAAAUAAAUAGGACAUACAUAACAAAGAGAAUAAUACUUGUAAAGAUUACAAAUGUAAGCAAAAGCAGAUGGGUAAUAGAAGCACUAGAUGGAUAUUUUUUAAAAACACAAAUGAAAAAAAUAUUUGAUAAAAAAAAUGAAUUUCCCAACUUAUAGAAAGAUUGAAAAGAGGACCUUUAUGGAGCACAAAAUAAUAGAUAAAACCCUAUAUCUGUACAUAAUAUAGUAAACUAACAUCCAAAAAAAAAAAAAAAAGAAAUUCUAAAAGCUUCCAGAAUGAAAGAGCAAAUAUAUUACAAAGAAACAAGAUUACACUGAAAAGAAAGAAGCAAGAAGAUAAUAUAGUAUUAUUCCUAAGGUGUAGAAAGAAAAAGUCUGUGACCAUAAUAUUUUAUAUUUACCAAUAUGUCAUUUAAAUAUGAUUGAAAAAAUAUCCUCACAAGAUUUGCCAAAGUCCAAACUUUGGUGCCCUCUUUAAGGAAAGUGCUCUAACAAAAUAGAGCUAGUCUCUGGAGAAUAAUUAAAGAUAUGCAGAAAUUAAUGUACUUAAAUCACUUUUUAAAACAUAUUGUCAUAUAAAAAAUAAGAACAACUUAAGUAAAAAAGACAUCUGAAACAAAUUAGAACUAAAAUUUUAGAAAAAUCAAAAGAAUAAAUAAUGCAAGAGAGAAUAUUUCUCUUUGGAAGGAAGAUAUGGCUUUAUAUUUCAAUAAAUGAAUAUAAAAUGUAAUUUUUUAGAAAACUACAACUUACCAAAAAUAACCCAGUGGAGAUAAAGAAUCUGAACAGAUCAUUUUCCAUAGAAGAAAUAAAAAUAGUAAAAGAGAACCUCCCACCCCCCCACCCCCCCACACACACAAAAGGACUAGGUACAGAAGAUUUCACAGGCAAAUUCUACCAACUUUACUUUUAUGAAGCAAUUAAAACAUGAUGCAAAAGCCUGACAAAGAUUUCUUCAUAAAAAAUACAGACUAAUCUCACUUAAAAAUAUAAUACUGCAGAAUUUUUAUACAACUCGUAUAUUAGCAAACAGAAUCGAACAACACAUUGGAGCAUGAUUAUUAUGACUAAAUAGACUUAACUUGUGUGGUUUGACAUUUGAAAACCCUUACUAUAAUUCAUCAUUAUAGUCAAGUAAAGGCAAAAAAUUAUCAUCUCCAUAGAUACAGGAAAGGUACUUGACAAAAUUCAAUUAUAGAUUUUAUUAAUUUUAAAAACAAUGAAAUAGGAAUGAAUGAAGAAGUUCUUAACAUUUUGUCUACCUACCUACCUACGUGUCUAUCUCUUCAAAUGCUAGUGUAUUUCUGUCCUACAAAGAUCCAGAAAAGGCUAGCCACUAGUUCCUUUGCUAUUAAACAUUGUGUUGGGGUUUCUGACCAAUCCAAUUAGAUAGAAGUAUGUACUAUGAAUAAAACGUUAUGUCCUCCUAGAAUUCUUAUGUUGAAACUCUAAUCCCCAAUGUGAUAAUAUUUGAUGACGAGACAUGUAGGUGGUAAGGGUGAAGCCUUCAUGAUGAGGGUGAAGCCUUCAUGAUGGGAUUACUGCCCUUUUAAGAAGAGACCGGUAAGGGCUUGCUUCACCCUGCUCUCUCCAGAAUGUGGGGAUAUAACUAGGAAGAGGGCUUUCACCAGGAACCAAAUUAUCUGGAACCUUGAUCUUGGGCUACACAGCCUCCAGAACUGUGAGAAACAGAUUUCUGUUGUUUAAGCCAUCUGGACUAUGGUAUCUUGUUUAAACAGCCUGACCAGACUAAGACAGUUUGUAGUAUGCUCCCUUUAAUUUAAGAAAGUAGAUGGAUACAUAUAUUUUAAAGCAUUUACCUGCAAGGAAUGAAGGGAACAGGACAAAGAGAUUGAGAUAAAAACUAGACUCAUAUGAAUAUAACUAACUGAUCAUUGAUAAAGAAGUAAAUACAAUUCAAUGGAAGAAGGUACUCUUUUCAACAAAUGGUGCCAGAGUAUUGGUAUUCAUAUGCAAAAAAGAUAAAUCAGAACAGAAUCCUUUCACAUAAAUGAACUAAAUAUAAUUUUACUAUCCAAUCCAACAAUUGCAUUCCUACAUACUUACCCAAAUAAGAUGUCCACACAAAAGUGACAAACAAAUAUUUAGAGUGGCUUGAUUCGUAAUUGCCAAAAACUGAAAGUGACCAAAACGUCCUUCAAUAGGUGAAUAGAUAAAGAGCAGUAAUACAUACAAUGGAAUAUUAUUCAGUGAUAAAAAUAAAUUAC